RNAcentral lists this ribosomal RNA (567 nucleotides) under Escherichia coli. Its description in RNAcentral is "partial 23S ribosomal RNA". It matches the Rfam family "Bacterial large subunit ribosomal RNA", at positions 644 to 1212 of the family's 2925-position model. Lineage: Bacteria; Pseudomonadati; Pseudomonadota; Gammaproteobacteria; Enterobacterales; Enterobacteriaceae. The record is from RNAcentral.
GGUUAACCGAAUAGGGGAGCCGAAGGGAAACCGAGUCUUAACUGGGCGUUAAGUUGCAGGGUAUAGACCCGAAACCCGGUGAUCUAGCCAUGGGCAGGUUGAAGGUUGGGUAACACUAACUGGAGGACCGAACCGACUAAUGUUGAAAAAUUAGCGGAUGACUUGUGGCUGGGGGUGAAAGGCCAAUCAAACCGGGAGAUAGCUGGUUCUCCCCGAAAGCUAUUUAGGUAGCGCCUCGUGAAUUCAUCUCCGGGGGUAGAGCACUGUUUCGGCAAGGGGGUCAUCCCGACUUACCAACCCGAUGCAAACUGCGAAUACCGGAGAAUGUUAUCACGGGAGACACACGGCGGGUGCUAACGUCCGUCGUGAAGAGGGAAACAACCCAGACCGCCAGCUAAGGUCCCAAAGUCAUGGUUAAGUGGGAAACGAUGUGGGAAGGCCCAGACAGCCAGGAUGUUGGCUUAGAAGCAGCCAUCAUUUAAAGAAAGCGUAAUAGCUCACUGGUCGAGUCGGCCUGCGCGGAAGAUGUAACGGGGCUAAACCAUGCACCGAAGCUGCGGCAGCGAC